This 814-nucleotide ribosomal RNA is filed under the name uncultured bacterium. Its description in RNAcentral is "bacterial SSU rRNA". It matches the Rfam family "Bacterial small subunit ribosomal RNA", at positions 1 to 808 of the family's 1533-position model. The record is from RNAcentral.
UAGAGUUUGAUCCUGGCUCAGGAUGAACGCUAGCUACAGGCUUAACACAUGCAAGUCGAGGGGAAACGGCAUUGAGUGCUUGCACUCUUUGGACGUCGACCGGCGCACGGGUGAGCAACGCGUAUCCAACCUUCCCAUUACUGUGGGAUAACCUGCCGAAAGGCCGACUAAUACCGCAUAGUCUUCGAUGACGGCAUCAGAUUUGAAGUAAAGAUUUAUCGGUAAUGGAUGGGGAUGCGUCUGAUUAGCUUGUUGGCGGGGUAACGGCCCACCAAGGCGACGAUCAGUAGGGGUUCUGAGAGGAAGGUCCCCCACAUUGGAACUGAGACACGGUCCAAACUCCUACGGGAGGCAGCAGUGAGGAAUAUUGGUCAAUGGACGGAAGUCUGAACCAGCCAAGUAGCGUGCAGGAUGACGGCCCUAUGGGUUGUAAACUGCUUUUGUAUGGGGAUAAAGUCAAUCACGUGUGAUUGUUUGCAGGUACCAUACGAAUAAGGACCGGCUAAUUCCGUGCCAGCAGCCGCGGUAAUACGGAAGGUCCAGGCGUUAUCCGGAUUUAUUGGGUUUAAAGGGAGCGUAGGCUGGAUAUUAAGUGUGUUGUGAAAUGUAGACGCUCAACGUCUGACUUGCAGCGCAUACUGGUUUCCUUGAGUACGCACAACGUUGGCGGAAUUCGUCGUGUAGCGGUGAAAUGCUUAGAUAUGACGAAGAACUCCGAUUGCGAAGGCAGCUGACGGGAGCGCAACUGACGCUUAAGCUCGAAGGUGCGGGUAUCAAACAGGAUUAGAUACCCUGGUAGUCCGCACAGUAAACG